UGCAUUCAGAGCCUGAGAGGAUGAGAACCUCCGGGGGAAGAGGUUCGACUCGAGCGGAGCGAGAGAACGUUGCGUCAGCAACGGCCCGCAGGGCGAGCCACGACGUGGCGAAUUAUCCUCGAUCACCGACCA
RNAcentral lists this small RNA (132 nucleotides) under Citrobacter amalonaticus. RNAcentral describes it as "RtT sRNA". It matches the Rfam family "RtT RNA". Rfam says of the family: This family represents a bacterial cis-regulatory element known as RtT RNA. The exact function of RtT is unknown although it is thought that it may be involved in changing the cellular response in relation to amino acid starvation. The record is from RNAcentral. Lineage: Bacteria; Pseudomonadati; Pseudomonadota; Gammaproteobacteria; Enterobacterales; Enterobacteriaceae.